This 231-nucleotide ribosomal RNA is filed under the name uncultured bacterium. RNAcentral describes it as "partial 16S ribosomal RNA". It matches the Rfam family "Bacterial small subunit ribosomal RNA", at positions 335 to 563 of the family's 1533-position model. The record is from RNAcentral.
ACUCCUACGGGAGGCAGCAGUGAGGAAUAUUGGUCAAUGGACGCAAGUCUGAACCAGCCAUGCCGCGUGCAGGAAGACGGCUCUAUGAGUUGUAAACUGCUUUUGUACGAGGGUACCCGCAGAUACGUGUAUCUGUCUGAAAGUAUCGUACGAAUAAGGAUCGGCUACCUCCGUGCCAGCAGCCGCGGUCAUACGGAUGAUUCAAGCGUUAUCCGGAUUUAUUGUGUUUAA